UACAGAGGGUGCGAGCGUUAAUCGGAAUUACUGGGCGUAAAGCGCACGUAGUCGGCUUUGCAAGUCGGUUGUGAAAUCCCCGGGCUCAACCUGGGAACUGCAUCCGAGACUGCAUUGCUAGAGUAUGGGAGAGGAAAGCGGAAUUUCUGGUGUAGCAGUGAAAUGCGUAGAUAUCAGAAGGAAUACCGAUGGCGAAGGCAGGUCUCUGGGCUGACACUGACGCUCAUGCACGAAAGCGUGGGGAGCAAACAGG
This 253-nucleotide ribosomal RNA is filed under the name uncultured bacterium. RNAcentral's name for it is "partial 16S ribosomal RNA". It matches the Rfam family "Bacterial small subunit ribosomal RNA", at positions 524 to 776 of the family's 1533-position model. The record is from RNAcentral.